AGUUUGAUCCUGGCUCAGGACGAACGCUGGCGGCGUGCUUAACACAUGCAAGUCGAACGGAAAGGCCCCUUCGGGGGUACUCGAGUGGCGAACGGGUGAGUAACACGUGGGUGUUCUGCCCUGCACUUUGGGAUAAGCCUGGGAAACUGGGUCUAAUACCGAAUAGGACCGCAUGCUUCAUGGUGUGUGGUGGAAAGCUUUUGCGGUGUGGGAUGGGCCCGCGGCCUAUCAGCUUGUUGGUGGGGUAAUGGCCUACCAAGGCGACGACGGGUAGCCGGCCUGAGAGGGUGUCCAGCCACACUGGGACUGAGAUACGGCCCAGACUCCUACGGGAGGCAGCAGUGGGGAAUAUUGCACAAUGGGCGCAAGCCUGAUGCAGCGACGCCGCGUGGGGGAUGACGGCCUUCGGGUUGUAAACCUCUUUCAGUAUCGGCGAAGCUCCAGGAUUUUUCUUGGGGUGACGGUAGGUACAGAAGAAGCACCGGCCAACUACGUGCCAGCAGCCGCGGUAAUACGUAGGGUGCGAGCGUUGUCCGGAAUUACUGGGCGUAAAGAGCUCGUAGGUGGUUUGUCACGUUGUCCGUGAAAACUCACAGCUUAACUGUGGGCGUGCGGGCGAUACGGGCAGACUGGAGUACUGUAGGGGAGACUGGAAUUCCUGGUGUAGCGGUGGAAUGCGCAGAUAUCAGGAGGAACACCAGUGGCGAAGGCGGGUCUCUGGGCAGUAACUGACGCUGAGGAGCGAAAGCGUGGGGAGCGAACAGGAUUAGAUACCCUGGUAGUC
This 784-nucleotide ribosomal RNA is filed under the name uncultured bacterium. RNAcentral describes it as "bacterial SSU rRNA". It matches the Rfam family "Bacterial small subunit ribosomal RNA", at positions 10 to 795 of the family's 1533-position model. The record is from RNAcentral.